This 31-nucleotide non-coding RNA is filed under the name Rattus norvegicus (Norway rat). Lineage: Eukaryota; Metazoa; Chordata; Mammalia; Rodentia; Muridae. The record is from RNAcentral.
AACCCUUGAUGAUGUAGCUCAGCGGUAGAGC